Molecule: ribosomal RNA, 1048 nt
Filed under: human gut metagenome
Description: bacterial SSU rRNA
Rfam family: Bacterial small subunit ribosomal RNA
Source: RNAcentral
UGCUAUGGGAGUGACGGUAGCUUACCAGAAAGCCACGGCUAACUACGUGCCAGCAGCCGCGGUAAUACGUAGGUGGCAAGCGUUAUCCGGAAUCAUUGGGCGUAAAGGGUGCGUAGGUGGCGUACUAAGUCUGUAGUAAAAGGCAAUGGCUCAACCAUUGUAAGCUAUGGAAACUGGUAUGCUGGAGUGCAGAAGAGGGCGAUGGAAUUCCAUGUGUAGCGGUAAAAUGCGUAGAUAUAUGGAGGAACACCAGUGGCGAAGGCGGUCGCCUGGUCUGUAACUGACACUGAGGCACGAAAGCGUGGGGAGCAAAUAGGAUUAGAUACCCUAGUAGUCCACGCCGUAAACGAUGAGAACUAAGUGUUGGAGGAAUUCAGUGCUGCAGUUAACGCAAUAAGUUCUCCGCCUGGGGAGUAUGCACGCAAGUGUGAAACUCAAAGGAAUUGACGGGGGCCCGCACAAGCGGUGGAGUAUGUGGUUUAAUUCGAAGCAACGCGAAGAACCUUACCAGGCCUUGACAUGGAAACAAAUACCCUAGAGAUAGGGGGAUAAUUAUGGAUCACACAGGUGGUGCAUGGUUGUCGUCAGCUCGUGUCGUGAGAUGUUGGGUUAAGUCCCGCAACGAGCGCAACCCUUGUCGCAUGUUACCAGCAUCAAGUUGGGGACUCAUGCGAGACUGCCGGUGACAAACCGGAGGAAGGUGGGGAUGACGUCAAAUCAUCAUGCCCCUUAUGGCCUGGGCUACACACGUACUACAAUGGCGACCACAAAGAGCAGCGACACAGUGAUGUGAAGCGAAUCUCAUAAAGGUCGUCUCAGUUCGGAUUGAAGUCUGCAACUCGACUUCAUGAAGUCGGAAUCGCUAGUAAUCGCAGAUCAGCAUGCUGCGGUGAAUACGUUCUCGGGCCUUGUACACACCGCCCGUCAAACCAUGGGAGUCAGUAAUACCCGAAGCCGGUGGCAUAACCGUAAGGAGUGAGCCGUCGAAGGUAGGACCGAUGACUGGGGUUAAGUCGUAACAAGGUAUCCCUACGGGAACGUGGGGAUG